Molecule: ribosomal RNA, 469 nt
Filed under: uncultured delta proteobacterium
Lineage: Bacteria; Deltaproteobacteria
Description: bacterial SSU rRNA
Rfam family: Bacterial small subunit ribosomal RNA
Source: RNAcentral
GGGAAGAUAACGACGGUACCCAAGGAGAAAGCACCGGCUAAAUACGUGCCAGCAGCCGCGGUAAUAUGUAUGGUGCAAGCGUUGUCCGGAAUUACUGGGCGUAAAGAGUUCGUAGGCGGUUAGAUUAGUCAGAAGUGAAAGGCUACGGCUCAACCGAGGAAUUGCGUUUGAAACUGCUGUGCUAGAGUCUCGGAGAGGUUGGCGGAAUUCCAGGUAUAGGAGUGAAAUCCGUAGAUAUCUGGAGGAACACCGGUGGCGAAGGCGGCCAACUGGACGAGUACUGACGCUGAGGUACGAAAGCGUGGGGAGCAAACAGGAUUAGAUACCCUGGUAGUCCACGCCGUAAACGAUGGAUAUUAGGUGUCGGGGGUUUACCUUCGGUGCCGCAGUUAACGCGUUAAAAUAUCCCGCCUGGGGAGUACGGUCGCAAAGGCUGAAACUCAAAAGGAAUUUGACGGAAUCACGAAUU